This 131-nucleotide ribosomal RNA is filed under the name uncultured Neomoorella sp. RNAcentral describes it as "uncultured Moorella sp. partial 16S ribosomal RNA". It matches the Rfam family "Bacterial small subunit ribosomal RNA", at positions 1251 to 1382 of the family's 1533-position model. The record is from RNAcentral. Lineage: Bacteria; Bacillati; Bacillota; Clostridia; Neomoorellales; Neomoorellaceae.
GAAGGAGCGAUCUGGAGCGAAUCCCAAAAGCAGGUCACAGUUCGGAUUGCAGGCUGCAACCCGCCUGCAUGAAGUCGGAAUCGCUAGUAAUCGCGGAUCAGCAUGCCGCGGUGAAUACGUUCCCGGGCCUU